Molecule: long non-coding RNA, 661 nt
Organism: Hyla sarda
Lineage: Eukaryota; Metazoa; Chordata; Amphibia; Anura; Hylidae
Exons: 3
Source: RefSeq, a predicted model, not a curated record
AAGUGAAUGAACCCAUUGCUGUGCACCAAGGUUUACAUAUACAGCCUGGGCUAUUAGGCAUGACAAGGAUCUAUUCCUGAGUGGUUUGAAACAUCUGUACAGGAACCAUUCACACUUUUGUCCCAGGCAGAAGUCAUCUACGUGGAAAUUGUUAAAAGAUAAAUACAGGUUUUGAUGCAUUUUUAGGAAUAAAGCCAGAAGUGGAUCCAGCAGGACAGAGAGGUCCUUCCUUGACAUUCUCCAUUGCCUUUUCUAUUCCCUUCUAUUUAUAGGGUCUCUUAUAUUGUAGCAUGUCUUACAGUUCAUUGUCAUUCACAGCUGCACACAUACCACAAUUCUGAAGGCUUCUGGGCUUUUGCCGUUUUCUAUGUUUCCUUAGAGUCUCUUUAGAACUUGCUCUGGUGACUUCUUAGGGAAGAAACUGCAGCACUGAAAAUGGUCUUGUCAAGCGCCUCACACGCUCUGUAACUCUGUACAAAAGACGUCAAGCAAAACUGGAAAACAAUAAUUUUGUAAAACAAAAGACAUCAAGCAAAUCAAUAUUAUAGUAUAAUUAACACAAAUUAUUCAUUUUACAGAGCAAGUAAUCCAUAAAUACACCAGAUGAGUGUCUAUGGCAGUUAUUAAAAGGGUUUUCCCAUUUAGAUAAAUAUAAGUCUAA